UACGUAGGGGGCAAGCGUUGUCCGGAAUCAUUGGGCGUAAAGAGCGUGUAGGCGGCUCGAUAAGUCCGCUCUGAAAGCCCGGGGCUCAACCCCGGGAGGCGGGCGGAUACUGUCGAGCUAGAGUCCGGAAGAGGCGAGUGGAAUUCCUGGUGUAGCGGUGAAAUGCGCAGAUAUCAGGAGGAACACCAAUGGCGAAGGCAGCUCGCUGGGACGGUACUGACGCUGAGACGCGAAAGCGUGGGGAGCGAACAGG
Molecule: ribosomal RNA, 253 nt
Filed under: uncultured bacterium
Lineage: Bacteria
Description: partial 16S ribosomal RNA
Rfam family: Bacterial small subunit ribosomal RNA
Source: RNAcentral